CUUCUCUCUCACAACUCAGAUGUCACAAAACUCCAUAUCUUCUCUCUCUCUCUCUCUCGCUCUACGACUCAAGAACAUCAUGCCAGAUCUCUCAUCAGAUGCCGUUUCAUGACAAGAUCGUUGAAGUGGUUCCGACACCUGAGCUCUGGUGGAGGAGACUAGGAUUUCGGCGAAGAUAAAGCCAUCGGAGGCUGAACCACCGGUGCAGGUAUCAUCUUCAUCAUCUAAACUAUCAUUGUUGGGAACAUGGAUGCCGUUUAUUGUUUACAAUUAGAUCCAUUGGUAGCUAUUGAACCAUCUUUCUUCAAGGUGAGAACAAGUUUAUCCUAUAACUUCUUAUUUUUGUUCCACCAAACAUUCUAUUUUUGUUCCAGCAAACAUUCUUAUACUUGUAAAUUGGAGGUUGAAAACCCAAUUAAUUGAGAUGUACGAUAGAUUACGGGUCGGAGCGGUUGCAGGGGGAACAUAUCCAGCAAUUGGAGUGGAUACAACCUGGUUAAGAAACAGGGCUCGAAGGGAAUGUAUGUAGAUUCCAUGAGGUUGUUGGGGCUGUGGGGUGUGAGAGGCGGAAAGUCUUAUUUGGAGUGACCAGGAAUGACGCUACGGUGGUGGUAGUCUUGGAAGAGAUCUCCCAACAAGUCUUUUGGUUCGGAAUCUUAGUUCAUUUUGUGCAUUGUAUUGAUUUAAUAAUAUAUUGUGACAAUUUUGACAUUAUAUCUCUUGAUGGGUAUUGGGUGAGGCUUUGAAUUUGAUUCAUUUCUCAGAUUUUUUUAAUUUUCCAACAACUUGGAAGUAUUAAAUAGUUUUUUUUUUAUUAUUUUUUUACUUUAUUUGGUGUCUUUUUAUACAUGUGGAUAUUAGUACUGUGCUGAUCUCUUCAUGGAUACGUUAAUAAUUUUUUUACAUUGAAUUUGGGUUUGCUUUUCUUAGCGUAGCUACAAGUGUUA
Helianthus annuus (common sunflower) is the source of this 947-nucleotide long non-coding RNA. RefSeq lists it as uncharacterized. Lineage: Eukaryota; Viridiplantae; Streptophyta; Magnoliopsida; Asterales; Asteraceae. The transcript has 3 exons. The record is from RefSeq and is a predicted model, not a curated record.